Molecule: long non-coding RNA, 202 nt
Organism: Lepus europaeus (European hare)
Lineage: Eukaryota; Metazoa; Chordata; Mammalia; Lagomorpha; Leporidae
Exons: 3
Source: RefSeq, a predicted model, not a curated record
GUGAACUUCUUCACCACAGGAGCCGCCCAAGGACCCCAGAAUGCCUUGGAAGCGAGGAAAUGGCCCUGCAACCCUCCUGAUGCUGAUUCAAAGGCACUGACUGUAUUCUGUGUUCCUGAAGUCUGGAGUUAGAGAAGUCCAAGGCCAAGAAGACCCACCUGAAAAGGGCCAUAUUCCUGCAUCCUAACAUGACAGACGUCAU